This 323-nucleotide unclassified non-coding RNA is filed under the name Hevea brasiliensis (rubber tree). Lineage: Eukaryota; Viridiplantae; Streptophyta; Magnoliopsida; Malpighiales; Euphorbiaceae. The record is from RNAcentral.
AUUGAAACAAACGGGGCCAUAACAAAAUUGGGUGUUAGUAAAACAAGUCCAAAAAUAACAAAACUGGAAUUGAUUAUGAGAUCGGUCUGCAACGAAUUGAACCCUAAAACAAACAAAAAUGAGCAGCCAGAUAGUAAGACUUCGAAUGAAUGAGCUCUCACUUCUUCUUCUCACCACCUCCACCGGCCCUCAUUUUUCUUAGAACAUUGGACAUUUCCUCACGCUUCUUUUUAGCUCUCUUGUGAGUUCCAAGCUUUCUUUUGGCUACCUUCAGAGCACGCUUGUCCUUUCCAACUUUCAGAAGCUCAGUGAUUCUCUUCUCA